This 2703-nucleotide long non-coding RNA is filed under the name Anas platyrhynchos platyrhynchos (common mallard). RNAcentral describes it as "lncRNA (ENSAPLG00000027560.1)". Lineage: Eukaryota; Metazoa; Chordata; Aves; Anseriformes; Anatidae. The record is from RNAcentral.
CUUCACCUGGAGACGGUUUAACCACACACGCCACCAGGGCCUGCCUGAGUCAUACAACUUCAAAUUCGUCACCAUGAGGCCGAUCCUGUAAAAUCAGCACUGAUAUUCCAAAAUGAGAUUUAUUUUUUUUUUUGAUGGAAACUUUCAUUCCUGUGUGUAAUAAAUCCAGCUGGAUGUACCCAUCCCUGUGCCUUGCCUGCCUCCCCCUGUCCUGCCUGCUGGGUGCUUUGCACAGAGGUGGGCUGCCUCUGCGCAGGGUGGUCCUUUGCCUAGGAUUGAUGGGAAGUGGGCAUGGCACUGCUUUUUGGUGAUCUGAGCAAUCAUCACAGCUACUCCCAGGGGAUGAGUGAACGCAGUGUGACCAGCUGAAGUGAUCUGUCUCUAGGCACGGGACCUGGCUUCAGGACUGGGCCAAACCAAGCAGCUUUGUCUCUGUGCUGGCUUGAUGUUUGCCUCUUGUCUGAGCAGUGCCUGUCAUCUGAUGCCAUUUCUAGUGAAGAGACACAGCCAUGUUCUCCACAGCAGGCAACUGAACAGUGAAGAGGUCUCACUCAUCAUCUCAUCUCCCUCUGCAGAGCUUAUUGUCCAAGGGGAAAAAAAUCAAAAGGUAUGUGCCUCAGCAAAAGGUUUGUUGCAAAAACUGUCCUGUUUUUUUCACACCCUCCACAUGCAUUUUUUUCUUUAAUGUCCUGUGUGUUUUGCCUUUUAAACUUAAGGUUUUCAGGCUUGUAGGGAGGCAGGCAGAGUUCUUUUUUUUGUCUGAUUUGGGGAUGGCAUGGAAAGGCGGUGGUGACAAAUUCAUCCCUUGCACUAAUGUAAAGAAAGCAACUUGCUGUUGAGGCAAUAGAGACCAUCUCCAGAGACCUUGUCUCCUCCCAGCACUGUCUUCAGGAGUGUUGUAUCAAAUGUGAGCUCUUGCAUCCUUUGCCAUCCCCCUUUCCUGAAAUCCAGCAACAGCCUCACCCCGACUCAUGUAGCCCAGUCCCACCCUUAAUGACCUCAGCUCCCACAGGGGGACAAGAUCUGUCAGCAGAGCGCUCUGCUUGAAGCUGGAGAUGGCCACCAAUUAGCCCGUAUGUGGGUGUCCAGGCAGCAUUGCAUGGAGCUCCCAGGGUAGUAACGGAGUGUGUUUCUGUGCCAGUGACCUGGUGCUGUGCUGCUGGCUCUGAUGAUUUCUUGGCCCCUCGCUAUUUUACAGUUUCCAUGCUGUUACACAACAGCAUCACCUGUGGUCUGUGCAGUUUGUAGUAUGUAUGUCCUGCUCUGCGGGUGUAGCACCCCCUUCCAGAUGUACCACUGAGUGCAUGGCAAGGCUGCUCUGCAGCUAAACAAGGGCCCUUGAUGUUCACACGUACUUCCUUUUCUGCCUGCACAAACUGCAAUUACAGCAGUGCUGGAGCAGAGUGGUUAUGCUACAUUUUUAUGAUAAAUGCAAUGGUCAAAACUAUGUGCAAGAUGUAGACUCUUACUCUAAACAGGCCAUUUGAGAAACUCUCUGCACUUUCAAGUGUGAUUGUAUUCAGCCAUCACUUAUGUGAGUCCAUACUCUUCUGGUCAGUGACUUGAAACAAGUUUUAAUAAGUGCUGGGAAACUACUUAUUACCAUCACCCGUUGAUUAUGUGACCCUUGAAGUGUGGGCUCAGCACUAACUCAAGGCAGGCAUGUCUGUCUGUCUCCCAGGUACUCUGUCUGAGUUCUCUGCCAUUCAGCAGCAGUGCUGUGUUGGGCCCAAGAGCCAGCUUUUAUCAUAGUGCCCGUGGCUAAAGCAGGGUGUUGUUUCUAAAGCAUACGACCCAGGGUUUGAUGCUAUCCUGGCUUCUACCCAUGCCCUCUCCCCGCCUCUUGCUCCCCUUUUGUCAGAGGUGAAAGCCAGCCCUUUGGAGGGAAAGGGGAGCACCACCAGCAGCCCUGGGUAACUACUGGGGGUAGGUUACUGGAUUGCUCAGGACACUCAGCCUCUCUGCUUUGCAAGGGUCUAGAAGGUGACUUCCUGGACCUCACAGCACGGCUUUAAUUUUUGCUCCUUUGAGAUGGCUGGGAGAGCAGCAUCACGCACCUGACUUUCUGGGAAGGAGCUGGAGCUGCUCCAUGUUCCUUGAUCAAGGUAGCAACAAGCCUGCAACGCUGAUGUGCCUGCACUGCCCCCUCCUCCAGGUGGCAGCAUGGCUGAAGAGGAUGAGCACACGUGGCACUUCAGUCUCCUGAGAGGUCUGGAACUAAGCACAGAUGACUCAAAACGUUAAAAACCCAGUAGUUUAUUUCAAAGUAUAAAUUUCAGGCUUGUCAGACAAAACCCCACUACAGGUACCACACACCCACGCGCACACAUACACACACACACACAACUCUACAUUACAUACAAAAUGGGGGAGUGCUUGGCAACUGCCCAGUUUAAAUUGGACAUUAAAGCAGUCCUACAUUUUUUGUAUUUACAAGUCCCGCUGUAAAACAAAACAAGAAAUCAGAUUGAGUUGCUUGCAAAGACUUUUGCAUGUUUGACUCAAUAAGUCAAUAACUUACUACAGCUGAACAGGCCUCCCCAAACAGCUACUACCCAGUUACCUUAUUUACAGCUAUACCCCAUUAAAUUAAGACAGCACUUCAAAUAUAUAUAUGUAUAAUAUAUUAAAUUAAAAAAAAGCUCAGCCUGCACACUGACAAUGAGAAAUAAAGAGACGUUUUAAUGGGUAUGUAGAAGGUAU